This 498-nucleotide ribosomal RNA is filed under the name uncultured bacterium. RNAcentral's name for it is "partial 16S ribosomal RNA". It matches the Rfam family "Bacterial small subunit ribosomal RNA", at positions 28 to 507 of the family's 1533-position model. The record is from RNAcentral.
GACGAACGCUGGCGGCGUGCCUAAUACAUGCAAGUCGAACGAGAGCAACCGGUUCUUGCCCUGGUCAAUCUAGUGGCGAACGUGUGAGUAACACGUGGGUAACCUGCCCAUCAGUGGGGGAUAACAUCCGGAAACGGAUUCUAAAACCGCAUAGGUCUUCGAACCGCAUGGUUUUUAGAGGAAAAGAGGCUCAAGCUUCUGCUGAUUGAUUUACCCGCGGUGCAUUAGCUAGUUGGUGAGGUAACGGCUCACCAAGGCCGUGAUGCAUAGCCGACCUGAGAGGGUGAUCGGCCACAUUGGGACUGAGACACGGCCCAAACUCCUACGGGAGGCAGCAGUAGGGAAUAUUCCGCAAUGGACGAAAGUCUGACGGAGCAACGCCGCGUGAGUGAAGAAGGUUUUCGGAUCGUAAAACUCUGUUGUUAGAGAAGAACAAGUGCUAGAGUAACUGUUAGCGCCUUGACGGUAUCUAACCAGAAAGCAACGGCUAACUACGUG